This 372-nucleotide ribosomal RNA is filed under the name uncultured organism. RNAcentral describes it as "partial 16S ribosomal RNA". It matches the Rfam family "Bacterial small subunit ribosomal RNA", at positions 527 to 896 of the family's 1533-position model. The record is from RNAcentral.
GUAGGUGGCAAGCGUUGUCCGGAAUUAUUGGGCGUAAAGCGCGCGCAGGGCGGUCCUUUAAGUCUGAUGUGAAAGCCCACGGCUCAACCGUGGAGGGUCAUUGGAAACUGGGGGACUUGAGUACAGAAGAGGAAAGCGGAAUUCCAAGUGUAGCGGUGAAAUGCGUAGAGAUUUGGAGGAACACCAGUGGCGAAGGCGGCUUUCUGGUCUGUAACUGACGCUGAGGCGCGAAAGCGUGGGGAGCAAACAGGAUUAGAUACCCUGGUAGUCCACGCCGUAAACGAUGAGUGCUAAGUGUUAGGGGGUUUCCGCCCCUUAGUGCUGCAGCUAACGCAUUAAGCACUCCGCCUGGGGAGUACGGCCGCAAGGCCG